This is a long non-coding RNA of Carcharodon carcharias (great white shark), 1294 nucleotides long. RefSeq lists it as uncharacterized. The record is from RefSeq and is a predicted model, not a curated record. Lineage: Eukaryota; Metazoa; Chordata; Chondrichthyes; Lamniformes; Lamnidae. The transcript has 3 exons.
UUCUCCUACAGGCUUCUCCGCUUCACUAAGGAAGACCACUGAAAUCUGCCACCUGCUGCAGCCACAACUGCAGCCUCCGAACAGAGUGAGGAGGACGUUGCCAGUGAAUGAGACUGGCUGGUUUCAAGCUGGAGCAGCUCCAGCAUUUGAACAAGUCAUGGUCAGUGGGUGAUCAUUUCAGCAUUCAGUACUAAAUCGUGGAAUGUGAAGUGCAAGAUUAUUGUGAAUGGAAAACCAUAGUUUCACCAUCGCCUUCCACUGAUGGUGAAUGCUGGACAUAGCUACCCACACAUCAUUAUCAUCGGCAAUCCCUCCUGUCAAGGAUGAUUCUUCCUUGUGGAUGGCUGGGUGAAAGUGAGAUGGCAGUGUUGGCUCUGUGUUCACAGAUGAAGACCUAUCUUUUUAUAAGACCUAUCUUAGCCUUGCAGGCUCUCCCACCUUGAGGAUAUGGUUUGUACUCUCUUUCCUUAUCUCUCACCGUUCUCUUCAAGUGGCUGCUCUUGUUGAUUGGAAGAUCUUGACACCAUUUUUAAUGAUAGAUCGCCAUUUUGCUCAUGAUUAGGCAUCUGCUUCCAUGCGUUGAUGUUGAUAGAGCAGACAGGGCUUUGAGAUUGUCUUUGAAACAUUUCCUUUGAGUCCCAUGUGAAUGGGUUCCCUGAUGUAGCUCUGAGUAGAGCACUUGUUUAGACAGUCUGGAGUUGGGCAGCUCAGCUGAUUUGAUUUUAUCAUGGCCUCUAUACUUGGCAUGCCUGUGUGUUGGAGGACUCUUGUGUUUUAUCUUUUGUCAUCCCACUUGAUUUGCAAGAUCCUUCUAAGACAGCACUGAUGAUGUUGUUCUGGGCUUCGAUAUGGCAUCUAAUAAUUGUCCAAGCUUCAACACCAUAAAGAAGCACUGUGAGAGCCACUGCCUGAUAGACUUUGAAUUUAGUGUUGGGUCUGAUAUCAUGAUUCUUGAACUCAAGUGCACAAUUUACCAUAAGUUGAGCUAGCACAUUGAUGAAGAGGUACAACUGAAUCCAAUGUCAGCUUUUCAUGCAUAUGUACUUGUGUACCAUAUGUACUUGGGUGCAUAUAUUCACAUAUAUAUGUACAUAUGUUGCUUUCUAACCUCCAAAGUAUGUGAAAUUCCUUACAUUGGAAAAAAAGAGAAAACAGUAAUUUCUUUGUCCAAAAGUGGACAGUAUUAUAUUUUUAAUGGGUUAACAAGUGGAGAUAGUGGCAUGUGGUAAUGUUCUAGGGGCAUGGGUUCAAAUCACAUCAUGGCAGCUGGUGGAAUUUAAAUUCAAUUAAUAAA